GACGAACCGAGCGAGCGUUAUUCGGAAUCACUGGGCUUAAAGGGCGCGUAGGCGGGCGGCCAAGUCAGGGGUGAAAGCCCCCAGCUCAACUGGGGAAGUGCCUUUGAUACUGGUCAUCUCGAGGGAGAUAGGGGCGUGCGGAACUUCCGGUGGAGCGGUGAAAUGCGUAGAUAUCGGAAGGAACACCGGUGGCGAAAGCGGCGCGCUGGAUCUCUUCUGACGCUGAGGCGCGAAAGCCAGGGGAGCGAACGGG
Molecule: ribosomal RNA, 253 nt
Filed under: uncultured bacterium
Lineage: Bacteria
Description: partial 16S ribosomal RNA
Rfam family: Bacterial small subunit ribosomal RNA
Source: RNAcentral